CCCUUAGAUGCUCUGGGCCGCACGCGCGCUACACUGAUCAGUGCAACAAGCAUCCGUCCUUGGCCGACAGGCCCGGGCAAUCUUUGAACGCUGAUCGUGAUGGGGAUAGACUUUUGCAAUUUUUGGUCUUCAACGAGGAAUUCCUAGUAAACGCAAGUCAUCAACUUGCAUUGAUUACGUCCCUGCCCUUUGUACACACCGCCCGUCGCACCUACCGAUUGAAUGGUCCGGUGAAGCCUCCGGAUUGGCGUGCACCCUCGGGUGCUGCCGAGAAGUUGGCUAAACCUUACCAUUUAGAGGAAGGUGAAGUCGUAACA
Molecule: ribosomal RNA, 317 nt
Filed under: uncultured eukaryote
Lineage: Eukaryota
Description: partial 18S ribosomal RNA
Rfam family: Eukaryotic small subunit ribosomal RNA
Source: RNAcentral